This 1249-nucleotide long non-coding RNA is filed under the name Mus musculus (house mouse). RNAcentral describes it as "long non-coding RNA chr11:16958788-16960037". Lineage: Eukaryota; Metazoa; Chordata; Mammalia; Rodentia; Muridae. The record is from RNAcentral.
AAGAUAAUUAAAAGAGAAUAUUAGUUUUUUUCAUUUAAAAAAUGUUAAUCAGCUUAAUAUACUAUAUAAACAUAUACUUAGAAACUUUUCUCUUGUUAUUUCUGACAAUCCAGUCUUAGACAAUUAUCAGUGGGAAAAGUGCAUAGAAACUAUUGAUCUUAAGGCAUUUGCAUAUAUAUAUAUAUGUAUGUAUAUAUAUAUAUGUGUAUGUGUGUGUGUGUGUGUGUAUGUGUCUAAUUUGAGAAAUAUAGCAGAUCCCUAACUAUAUUUUAAUUUCCUUUUUAAUUUUGUUUUACCUGUUCUCUAAGACUUAAGAUAUCCUAACAUUUUUAGCAAAAAAUCAAUUGAGUAACAAAGGGAGGGACCUUAGAUGAAAGGUCCUACAGUUGGGAGAGGGAACUUGUAGAGCCCACCUCCAGCAGAAAGACAGGGCAUCAAGUGAGGGAUGGGGUUGCCAUCCCACAGUCACAUCUCUGACCCAUAAUUGUUCCUCUCUGAAAAAACUACAGGGGUGGAAAUGGAGAAGAGUCUGAGGAAAAGAAGGUCCAGCAGCGGGCCCAAAGUGGGAUCAAACUCAGGGGGAGGCCCCAACACUACUGAGGCUACGGAACACUCACAAAAAGGGAUGGGAGGAGAGGCACUUAGUCUUGUGAAAGUCCUAUGCCCCAGUAUAGGGAAAUGCCAGGGCCAAGAAGUGGGAGUGGGUGGGUUGGUGAACAAGGGGGAGGGGGGAGGGGAUUUUCAGAGAGGAAAUUAGGAAAGGGCAUAACAUUUGAAAUGUAAAUAAAGAAAAUAAUAAAAACAAAAAGGGACCUAUCAUGACUGCCCUCUGAGGGACCUGGCAGGCAGCUGAAAGAGUCAGAUGCAGAUAUUUGCACCCAUCCAGUGGACAGAAGCUGCUGACUCCUGCGGUUGAGUUGGGGAAAAACUGAAGGAAGCUGAGGAGGAGGACAGCGCUGUAGGAAGACCAGCAGUCUCAAUUAACCUGGACCCCAGAGAUCCCUCAGACACCGGACCACCAACCAGGAGGCAUGAACCAGCUGAUAUGAGGCCCCCAACACAUAUACAGUGGAGGACUGCUGGGUCUGUGUUCUGUCAGAGAGGAUGCACCUAACCCUCAGGAGAUUGGAGGCCCCAGGGAGUUUAGAGGUCUGGUGGGGUGGGAGGUGGGGAGACAGGGCAGCGGGGAGGAGGUGUGGAAUGUGAAACACUCUGACAGUGGACCGGUAGGGGAAUGGAAUCUGAUGUG